RNAcentral lists this long non-coding RNA (468 nucleotides) under Olea europaea subsp. europaea. The record is from RNAcentral. Lineage: Eukaryota; Viridiplantae; Streptophyta; Magnoliopsida; Lamiales; Oleaceae.
UUUUAAAGUAUUACUCUUUGCUACCAUUAACUCAGUGCAUAAUCUCUCUCUUCCUCUCUAGGCUCUCAAAAGCUCUCUCUCUUACUCUACUGUGUGAGUGUGUGUUUUCUUUUGCAUGCAGUGGAAAACAAAGUUAUUUGAGUAAAAAAGCUGGGUCGAAUAUAGAGAGAAUAUCGGUCUGGCCGGAAUACGGGUGGUGCUGAGUCGAAUCGGUGGCAGGAAGCCGCGACAGAAGGUGAAGAUAAAGGCGAUGGAGUGGUGGCAUAAAAUGGUCUUCCCUGUUAGAAGAGUUUGGUUCGCUGUUUCUGCACGAGCUAAGGCUCGCAAAACUGGUUAGUAUCUCUCCGGGCAAGUCGACUAACGACUAACCUAAUUGUUUCUCGUAUGGUUAAGUUAAAACGUAGUUUGUAAGUGUAUGAUAAUUUAGUUUCCGUUUCUUCACAAAUCGAUUUUAGGGUUCUUCUUCCU